Pelobates cultripes (western spadefoot toad) is the source of this 553-nucleotide non-coding RNA. NCBI's taxonomy places the organism in Eukaryota, Metazoa, Chordata, Amphibia, Anura, Pelobatidae. The record is from the annotation of a GenBank genome assembly.
CUUUAAGGAGUUAAAUCACUUUGUUUAUGGACUCUAGUCACACCUCCCUGCAUGUGACUUGCACAGCCUUCAUAAACACUUCCUGUAAAGAGUCAUCUAAUGUUUAUCCAUCCUUUAUUGGAAGUUCUGUUUAAUUUAGAUUUUCUUAUCCCCUGCUAUAUUAAUAGUUUGCUAGACCCUGCAAGAGCCUCUUGUAUGUGAUUGAAGUUCAAUUUACAGAGCAAGAGAUACAAUUGGUUAAGGUAAAUUACAUCUGAUUGAAAGUAAAACAAUUUUUUCAUACAGGCUCUGUCAAUCAGAUCCAGGGGAGGUGUUGCAAGGGCUGCAUAAACAGAAACAACUUGAUUUAACUCCUAAAUUGCAGAGAAUUGUGCAGUGAAACCUGAGAGGUAUGAUCUAUACACUAAAACUGCUUCAUUAUGCUAAUGUUGUUUAGGUGACUACAGUGUCCUUUUAAUCAUUUGAGAAUCUUAUCCAAAAGAAAUAAAACAAGUCUAAAUGAUUUACAUACAAAACUUCCCAUAGACCUUAUUUGAUGGUGACUUCUGCAGAG